UACGCAGGGGGCUAGCGUUGCUCGGAAUCACUGGGCGUAAAGCGCACGUAGGCGGGUUGCUAAGUCAGGGGUGAAAUCCUGGAGCUCAACUCCAGAACUGCCCUUGAUACUGGCGGCCUUGAGUCCGGGAGAGGUGAGUGGAACUGCGAGUGUAGAGGUGAAAUUCGUAGAUAUUCGCAAGAACACCAGUGGCGAAGGCGGCUCACUGGCCCGGUACUGACGCUGAGGUGCGAAAGCGUGGGGAGCAAACAGG
RNAcentral lists this ribosomal RNA (253 nucleotides) under uncultured bacterium. Its description in RNAcentral is "partial 16S ribosomal RNA". It matches the Rfam family "Bacterial small subunit ribosomal RNA", at positions 524 to 776 of the family's 1533-position model. The record is from RNAcentral.